GCCUGGCUUGCUCAGUCAGUAGAGCAUGUGACUCUUGAUCUUGGAGUUGUGAGUUCAAGCCUCACAUUAGGUG
RNAcentral lists this transfer RNA (73 nucleotides) under Ailuropoda melanoleuca (giant panda). It matches the Rfam family "tRNA". From Rfam's summary of the family: Transfer RNA (tRNA) molecules are approximately 80 nucleotides in length. Their secondary structure includes four short double-helical elements and three loops (D, anti-codon, and T loops). Further hydrogen bonds mediate the characteristic L-shaped molecular structure. tRNAs have two regions of fundamental functional importance: the anti-codon, which is responsible for specific mRNA codon recognition, and the 3' end, to which the tRNAs corresponding amino acid is attached (by aminoacyl-tRNA synthetases). tRNAs cope with the degeneracy of the genetic code in two manners: having more than one tRNA (with a specific anti-codon) for a particular amino acid; and 'wobble' base-pairing, i.e. permitting non-standard base-pairing at the 3rd anti-codon position. Lineage: Eukaryota; Metazoa; Chordata; Mammalia; Carnivora; Ursidae. The record is from Rfam by way of RNAcentral.